This 432-nucleotide long non-coding RNA is filed under the name Salmo salar (Atlantic salmon). RNAcentral describes it as "lncRNA (ENSSSAG00000117448.1)". The record is from RNAcentral. Lineage: Eukaryota; Metazoa; Chordata; Actinopteri; Salmoniformes; Salmonidae.
UUGCUAGGUCAAAUACAUGUCCCCCUGACCCUUCUGUUGCUAGGUCAAAUACAUGUCCCCCGGACCCUUCUGUUGCUAGGUCAAAUACAUGUCCCCUGACCCUUCUGUUGCUAGGUCAAAUACAUGUCCCCCUGACCCUUCUGUUGCUAGGUCAAAUACAUGUCCCCCGGACCCUUCCGUUGCUAGGUCAAAUACAUGUCCCCUGACCCUUCUGUUGCUAGGUCAAAUACAUGUCCCCCUGACCCUUCUGUUGCUAGGUCAAAUAAAUGUCCUCCUGACCAUUCUGUUUCUAGGUCAAAUACAUGUCCCCCUGACCCUUCUGUUGGACUUACUGUUGCUAGGUCAAAUACAUGUCCCCCUGACCCUUCUGUUGCUAGGUCAAAUACAUGUCCCCCUGACCCUUCUGUUGCUAGGUCAAAUACAUGUCCCCCG